AGGCCAGGCACUACUCUGUCCCAACAAUAAGCCCUGUACAUUGGGAAAGGUGCCGAAGACAUGAACUUUGGUCUUCUCUGCAAUCCCUCUGGAGCAUUCAGUGACAACGUCGACUUUGAAGUUGCACUGACCUGGCCAGCCCUGCCACUUACCAGGUUGGGCUGUGGCUUGCCUUUUCACUUCUUGUGUCCUGUUUAAGAAAUAUCUGCUAUCCCAAGCAUCUGGCAUCUUUCUUGACAUACGUAGCAGUUGCUUUUUGACAGCUUGCUUCUGGAGUGAAUGAAUAAAUUAAUAAAUUUAUUCAUUUGAUAUUCAGUGACAUGUGAUAUUCAGUGAUCCAUUUUGCAGAUUGCAAACUCCUAGAGAAGGGCUCAACAGUGAGUGUUGAGGCUGCACAGAGGAGGAAGGUAGCACAAUGAUGGAAGGCUUCCUAAAGAGGUCAGCUCCUGAAUCAAUUAAAAAAAAAAAACAACAGUGACAACGAAACUAAAAAAUAUGAAGAGGCUGAAACAUGAAAGCUCUGCCAACUGCAAUAUGUAGCUGCUAAGGUUGCUGUGUUUACUGGCAUCAAGCAAGUGUUCCAGGAAAGAGCACAGAAGAUGUGUCUGGGAGCCUUUAUGUAUAACACUAACAAAGUUGACCUUAGAAUUGGAGUGCCCGGGUUAGAACCUUGCUGGUACCACCUGCUUACUGCAUGCUUCUGAUGUGAGUUCAGGAGAAGCCACUGGCAAGGACAGCAAAGAACAGGAGAACACUCUAGCUUCCCUGAUAGCAUUCAAGGUGCUGUCCAAAGCUCUUGAGUUUCUGCUUUCAAGUGACCCUCAGAAAUGCCCCCAUUCACUGCAGAGGUUCUGUUUCUCCUUGUUUUGUUCCGACUUUAUGGCAGAACUAGGUUAAUGAGUUAAUUACUAUGAGUUAUCACUUGGAUUUGAAGAACCAUCAUUUCUAGGCUUUGCUGCUCAGAGUGGGUUUGCCCUCAGGGGAAGCUAUCUAACCAGAGCCUAACCCACUAGGGUUUUAUCAGAACCUAACUGGCCUGAGGAAAAGAAAUAUUCAACUCCAGCAAGCUCCAGCCUUCCAAACGGAGGAGGAGAAAACCCAAAUCCAGCCCACUUCAGCUAUCUUGUCCCACAUAAAGGGGGAGUGGAAGAAACGUGAGAAGCAGGCAUGAAGUUCACAGUCCGGAGGUACAGACACAUCAGAGUUCAGUAUCUGAUGAAUUAGAUGCAAAAUCCUCAACAAAGUAUUAGCAAAUUGAAUUCAACAAUGUAUGAAAAUUAUUACAUGCCAUGACUAAUUGGAAUUUAUCUCAGGUAUACAAGCCAUGCUGAACAUCUGAAAAUCAAUUCAUGUGAUCCAUCACAUUAGCAGAUUCAA
RNAcentral lists this long non-coding RNA (1377 nucleotides) under Pongo abelii (Sumatran orangutan). Its description in RNAcentral is "lincRNA". Lineage: Eukaryota; Metazoa; Chordata; Mammalia; Primates; Hominidae. The record is from RNAcentral.